Long non-coding RNA from Xiphophorus hellerii (green swordtail), 491 nucleotides. RefSeq lists it as uncharacterized. NCBI's taxonomy places the organism in Eukaryota, Metazoa, Chordata, Actinopteri, Cyprinodontiformes, Poeciliidae. The transcript has 2 exons. The record is from RefSeq and is a predicted model, not a curated record.
UUAGUUGCGUUGUUAGCUGGUGCUACUGUAGUUCCGUUGCUAGGUGGCGCUACUGUAGGUGCGUUGCUAGCUGGCGCUACUGUAGGUGCGUUGCUAGCUGGUGCUACUGUAGUUGCGUUGCUAGCUGGCGCUACUGUAGGUGCGUUGCUAGCUGGUGCUACUGUAGGUGCGUUGCUAGCUGGUGCUACUGUAGUUGCAUUGCUAGCUGGUGCUACUGUAGGUGAGUUGCUAGCUGGUGCUACUGUAGUUGCGUUGCUAGCUGGUGCUACUGUAGUUGCGUUGCUGGCUGGUGCUACUGCGGUUGUAUUGCUCUGAGCAUAGGUGGCCAUAAAUUCCAAGGACAGUGUCACCAACAAAAAACUGAGGAGCAGUCGUUUAUCCAUGCCUUCAGGAAAGGGAAAAUAAUUUAAUUAAGCAAUACAAAUACAAAAUUAGCUUCAGUUAGAUGUGAAAUGAGAUUUUCUUUCAAGGUAAAAGUGUUUUAAAUGUUU